GGCCGGGGCAGCCGCGCCGUCAUGCCGCUGAAGGCCGUGAUCCUCAUCGGGGGCCCGCAGAAGGGCACCCGCUUCCGGCCGCUCUCCUUCGAGGUGCCCAAGCCGCUGUUCCCCGUGGCCGGCGUGCCCAUGGUGCAGCACCACAUCGAAGCCUGCGCCAAGGUGCCCGGCCUGAAGGAGAUCCUGCUGAUGGGCUUCUACCAGC
RNAcentral lists this unclassified non-coding RNA (205 nucleotides) under Hevea brasiliensis (rubber tree). The record is from RNAcentral. Lineage: Eukaryota; Viridiplantae; Streptophyta; Magnoliopsida; Malpighiales; Euphorbiaceae.